Non-coding RNA from Acanthosepion pharaonis, 113 nucleotides. The record is from the annotation of a GenBank genome assembly. NCBI's taxonomy places the organism in Eukaryota, Metazoa, Mollusca, Cephalopoda, Sepiida, Sepiidae.
UAUGGCCAUAUCACAUUGAAUCAGUGGUUCCUCUAUGAUCACUGAAGUUAAGCAAUGAUGAGCCUGAUCAGUACCUACAUGGGUGACCACUUGGGAGUACCAGGUGCUGUAAG